Molecule: ribosomal RNA, 652 nt
Filed under: uncultured Nitrospira sp.
Lineage: Bacteria; Pseudomonadati; Nitrospirota; Nitrospiria; Nitrospirales; Nitrospiraceae
Description: bacterial SSU rRNA
Rfam family: Bacterial small subunit ribosomal RNA
Source: RNAcentral
AACGAACGCUGGCGGCGCGUCUAAUACAUGCAAGUCGAGCGAGAAGACGUAGCAAUACGUUUGUAAAGCGGCGAACGGGUGAGGAAUACAUGGGUAACCUACCCUCGAGUGGGGAAUAACUAGCCGAAAGGUUAGCUAAUACCGCGUACGCUUCUUGGACUUCGGUUCAGGGAGGAAAGCGAUACCGUGGGUAUCGCGCUCUUGGAUGGGCUCAUGUCCUAUCAGCUUGUUGGUGAGGUAACGGCUCACCAAGGCUUCGACGGGUAGCUGGUCUGAGAGGACGAUCAGCCACACUGGCACUGCGACACGGGCCAGACUCCUACGGGAGGCAGCAGUAAGGAAUAUUGCGCAAUGGGCGAAAGCCUGACGCAGCGACGCCGCGUGGGGGAUGAAGGUCUUCGGAUUGUAAACCCCUUUCGGGAGGGAAGAUGGAACGAGCAAUCGUUCGGACGGUACCUCCAGAAGCAGCCACGGCUAACUUCGUGCCAGCAGCCGCGGUAAUACGAAGGUGGCAAGCGUUGUUCGGAUUUACUGGGCGUACAGGGAGCGUAGGCGGUUCGGUAAGCCCUCUGUGAAAUCUCCAGGCUUAACCUGGAACAGUCGGAGGGGACUGCUGGGCUAGAGGACGGGAGAGGAGCGCGGAAUUCCCGGU